This is a long non-coding RNA of Struthio camelus australis, 824 nucleotides long. RefSeq lists it as uncharacterized. The record is from RefSeq and is a predicted model, not a curated record. Lineage: Eukaryota; Metazoa; Chordata; Aves; Struthioniformes; Struthionidae.
GUUUCGGUUUCGGCGACACCACAGGCGUUGCCUGGGGACAAACCUAGAAUUAACGAGAACAAAGCUCGUGCUUUGUACCGUUUCAUUUGUACUGCCCUUUAGUUGCUUUAAGCAGCAUCAGUUUUCAAGAGGUGCUGUCACGUUUUAUUCUGGGAGCCUACCUGGGCUUGUUCGCUGCUCUUUUCCUGUGUCAGUAACAGUGGCACAGCAAUUCGGGGCUGAGAUUUUCACAGUUAGAUGUCUGAGUACCUUGGAGACUGGUAUUUGACAGCCUUUAAGAAUCUGCAUAUAAACUGCUGAGAGUGUCAAUACCUGCAGUCUGAUCGAGAAGCAGGGAGACUUCUAGAGGUCCGAAGCCAUCAGAGCACAGUGCAGGUGUUUUUCAAUUUGAAUAAACAUUCCCAACCUCAGGGAGCUCAUUUCAUCUGAGCCAGCAGACCUCCACAUCUGUGACUGUUUUACCUCAGACACGCAAGUGCCUUCCACUGGAAUUAAACACCUACCUUUCAGGAAAGACUGUGCGAAGUCAACAAGAUCAUCACAUUAAAGUCAUCAUGCUAAAUAAUCUGACCCUCUCAUUCUGAGAAAUAUGAUUCUUGUUUUCAGAAUCUGCAAUGAGGAAAGAGAUGAUUCUGAGUCCGUUUGUAAUUACAUACAUAAAAGCAUAUAUAUAGUACUUGUACUUUCCAACUAUUUUCUGUAUAUUGAUUAAUUUACUAAUAACAUUUGUCAAUUUAAAAAAAAAGAACCAUUUCUUUCCCCUAGUAUACUAACAUUCUGCUGUUUAAAAGGAGAAAAACAAUGCGUUUUACAGAUAUGUUUUA